AGCGACUCCAGUGAAAAUACAAGAACAAACAGAGCCAAAGAAAGAAACAACAGAAGAAAAGGACCAGAUACCUAGCAAACUAAAGAAAGAGGCUCCAGUGAAAAAAGUAGAAGAACCAGCACAACCAAAAAAAGAAACAUCUGUGAAAAAACAGGAAGAGCCAGCAGAACA
Molecule: long non-coding RNA, 171 nt
Organism: Rana temporaria (common frog)
Lineage: Eukaryota; Metazoa; Chordata; Amphibia; Anura; Ranidae
Exons: 4
Source: RefSeq, a predicted model, not a curated record